GAGGGAAGAUGAGAGGGGAGAAUGGGAAGGAGGAGUAACAAAAGUGAAAACAAAAACUAAAAACUGAAAUAUAUUUGAAAUUGUUUUCUGUUUUGUUACUCUUUCCUCUUAUCCUCCCCUCUCAUCUCUCUCU
RNAcentral lists this microRNA precursor (133 nucleotides) under Prunus dulcis (almond). Its description in RNAcentral is "sRNA ncRNA". The record is from RNAcentral. Lineage: Eukaryota; Viridiplantae; Streptophyta; Magnoliopsida; Rosales; Rosaceae.